This 121-nucleotide ribosomal RNA is filed under the name Harpegnathos saltator (Jerdon's jumping ant). Lineage: Eukaryota; Metazoa; Arthropoda; Insecta; Hymenoptera; Formicidae. The record is from RNAcentral.
GUCAACGGUCAUACCACAUUAAAAUUACCACUUCUCAUCUGAUCACUGAAGUACAAACAGCAUUGGGCAUAGUUAGUAUUUGGAUAGGUUUUCCACUUGGGAACACUGUGUACUGUUGACA